UACGGGGGGGGCAAGCGUUGUUCGGAAUUACUGGGCGUAAAGGGCGCGUAGGCGGCUCGUCAAGUCGGGCGUGAAAUCUCCAGGCUUAACCUGGAAAAGUCGUUCGAUACUGUUGAGCUAGAGUGUGGAAGAGGCUACUGGAAUUCCGUGUGUAGCGGUGAAAUGCGUAGAGAUCGGGCGGAACACCAGCGGCGAAGGCGGCAUCCUGGCCCUUACCUGACGCUGAGGCGCGAGAGCGUGGGGAGCAAACCGG
RNAcentral lists this ribosomal RNA (253 nucleotides) under uncultured bacterium. Its description in RNAcentral is "partial 16S ribosomal RNA". It matches the Rfam family "Bacterial small subunit ribosomal RNA", at positions 524 to 776 of the family's 1533-position model. The record is from RNAcentral.